RNAcentral lists this ribosomal RNA (253 nucleotides) under uncultured bacterium. RNAcentral describes it as "partial 16S ribosomal RNA". It matches the Rfam family "Bacterial small subunit ribosomal RNA", at positions 524 to 776 of the family's 1533-position model. The record is from RNAcentral.
UAGGAUGGGGGCUAGCGUUGUUCGGAAUCACUGGGCGUAAAGCGCACGUAGGCGGAAGUUUAAGUCAGGGGUGAAAUCCCAGGGCUCAACCCUGGAACUGCCCUUGAUACUGGACGUCUCGAGUCCGGGAGAGGUGAGUGGAACUCCGAGUGUAGAGGUGAACUUCGUAGAUAUUCGGAAGAACACCAGUGGCGAAGGCGGCUCACUGUCCCGGUCCUGACGUUGAGGAGCCAAAGCGAGUGUAGCAAACAGG